RNAcentral lists this ribosomal RNA (497 nucleotides) under uncultured bacterium. RNAcentral describes it as "partial 16S ribosomal RNA". It matches the Rfam family "Bacterial small subunit ribosomal RNA", at positions 28 to 507 of the family's 1533-position model. The record is from RNAcentral.
GAUGAACGCUGGCGGCGUGCCUAAUACAUGCAAGUCGAGCGAACAGACGAGGAUCUUGCUCCUCUGACGUUAGCGGCGGACGGGUGAGUAACACGUGGAUAACCUACCUAUAAGACUGGGAUAACUUCGGGAAACCGGAGCUAAUACCGGGUAAUAUAUUGAACCGCAUGGUUCAAUAGUGAAAUACGGUUUUGCUGUCACUUAUAGAUGGAUCCGCGCCGCAUUGGCUAGUUGUUAAGGUAACGGCUUACCAAGGCAACGAUGCGUAGCCGACGUGAGAGGGUGAUCGGCCACACUGGAACGGGAACACGGUCAAGACUCCUACGGGAGGCAGCAGUAGGGAAUCUGACGCAAUGGGCGAAAGUCUGACGGAGCAACGGCGCGUGAGUGAUGAAGGUCUUCGGAUCGUAAAACUCUGUUAUUAGGGAAGAACAAAUGUGUAAGUAACUAUGCACGUCUUGACGGUACCGGAUAAGAAAGCCACGGCUAACUACGUG